CACGUAGGGCGCAAGCGUUGUCCGGAAUUACUGGGCGUAAAGCGUGCGUAGACGGUUGCGUAAGUCAGAUGUGAAAGCCCCGGGCUCAACCUGGGAAUUGCAUUUGAGACUGCGUAGCUAGGGUGCGGAAGAGGGAAGCGGAAUUUCCGGUGUAGCGGUGAAAUGCGUAGAUAUCGGAAGGAACACCAGUGGCGAAAGCGGCUUCCUGGUCCAGCACCGACGUUCAGGCACGAAAGCGUGGGGAGCAAACAGG
This 253-nucleotide ribosomal RNA is filed under the name uncultured bacterium. RNAcentral's name for it is "partial 16S ribosomal RNA". It matches the Rfam family "Bacterial small subunit ribosomal RNA", at positions 524 to 776 of the family's 1533-position model. The record is from RNAcentral.